Molecule: unclassified non-coding RNA, 335 nt
Filed under: soil metagenome
Description: partial contains 5.8S ribosomal RNA, internal transcribed spacer 2, and large subunit ribosomal RNA
Rfam family: 5.8S ribosomal RNA (bases 1-120)
Source: RNAcentral
GAUGAAGAACGCAGCGAAAUGCGAUAAGUAAUGUGAAUUGCAGAAUUCAGUGAAUCAUCGAAUCUUUGAACGCACAUUGCGCCCAUUAGCAUUCUAGUGGGCAUGCCUGUUCGAGCGUCAUUUCAACCCUUAAGCCCUGUUGUUUAGCGUUGGGAGCCUACAGUACUGUAGCUCCCCAAAGUUAGUGGCGGAGUCGGUUUCACACUCUAGACGUAGUAAUUUUUUCUCGUCUGUAGUUGAGCCGGUCCCCUGCCGUAAAACACCCAAUUUAUCAAGGUUGACCUCGGAUCAGGUAGGAAUACCCGCUGAACUUAAGCAUAUCAAUAAGCGGAGGA